Molecule: ribosomal RNA, 433 nt
Filed under: uncultured bacterium
Lineage: Bacteria
Description: partial 16S ribosomal RNA
Rfam family: Bacterial small subunit ribosomal RNA
Source: RNAcentral
AACGAACGCUGGCGGCAUGCCUAACACAUGCAAGUCGAACGAGACCUCCGGGUCUAUUUGCGCACGGCGGCUUAACGCGUGGGAAGCUGCACUUAGGUUCGGAAUAACUCCCCGAAAGGGGUGCUAAUACCGGAUAAUGUCUUCGGACCAAAGAUUUAUUGCCGUUUGUUGGGCCCGCGUUGGAUUAGCUAGUUGGUAGGGUAAUAGCAUACCAACGCGACGAUGCAUAGCUGGUCUGAGAGGAUGCUCAGCCACACUGGGACUGAGACACGGCCCAGACUCGUACGCGAGGGAGCAGAAGGUAAUAUUGGAGAAUGGGGCAAAGCGUGAUCCAGCAAUGCCGGGUGAGUGAUGAAGGCCUUAGGGUUGUAAAGCUGUUUUAGCCGAGAUGAUAGUGACGGUACCGGGAGAAGAAGCUCCGGCUAACUACGUG